Long non-coding RNA from Notolabrus celidotus (New Zealand spotty), 766 nucleotides. RefSeq lists it as uncharacterized. Lineage: Eukaryota; Metazoa; Chordata; Actinopteri; Labriformes; Labridae. The record is from RefSeq and is a predicted model, not a curated record. The transcript has 2 exons.
CAUCCUAACUCCAGUUAGUUUGUAUUUCAGCAGCAGGAACAGAGGGCAGCCGGUCGCAUGGCAGUAAACAUCUGAACAGAGAUGAGAGGAGAGGUGGAAGAUGCACUCCAGUCUGCAGAGAGUUUCCCCCGCCCCUGAUGGGUUCGACUUCACGGAUCAGAGCAUCCUAUGUGACAAUUACUGCCCGUUCUGUGUGCUUUAUGUGACAACGUGCUACAAACCAGCCCGAUGCAUGUGACAGAAGUUAAACUGAAGGCAAUGGAGGAGUGGAAGCUGACUGAGGAAGACCCGGCUGUUACUGACAUAACAGCGAAUAAAUAUACAAGCUGGUUGAUGAAGCAGUAAAAUGUGUUUUUUUAGGGUUAAUUUAACUGUUUUUCUUUAGUUCUGUAAAUUUAAUUUACAGACUUAACACAUGUAGAUGUUUUCAUCUCAGUGAAACCAUGAAUCCUGCACUUUGACAUUUUAGAGAUGUGUAUGCUUCAGAUUGCUUUUCUGCACAUGUCAGGAAAUGGGGGAAACUACAGCUUAAAUUGAAGAAGAAGAAGCCUCAGCAUCAGUGAAGGCCUGGCUUUUGCCUCAAAAAGAUCAAAAACACAGAGUUAAAAAAUGUCAGAUAUUCUUUUCACCACCCUCCAAACUGUUCACAUUACAAUCCUGCAUGAAUGACUCCAUCAGGGUUUUCUAAAAAGUUGAAACCGUAUUCGGUUCAUCCCUACAACCAAUAAAAUUACUGCUGUAACACUACUAACAGCAUGUUAAAUCA